Molecule: long non-coding RNA, 213 nt
Organism: Rhea pennata
Lineage: Eukaryota; Metazoa; Chordata; Aves; Rheiformes; Rheidae
Exons: 3
Source: RefSeq, a predicted model, not a curated record
GAAAAGAAAAGAGAGCAACUCCUGAAAGAUCAGGGUGCAGAAUCCUCUACAGCAGAGCUGUCUCUAUGGAACAGGCUCAUCAGCAUGAAUAGACAUCGAUGGACUUCAGAUAAGCCUCAGGUCCUAGCAAGCCUGAUGCAACUGGAAAGGGAAGAGGAGUCUCCUUUGAAUGCGGCUGUUAACGGAUCUGCAGCACUGGUUCUCCCCCUGCUG